Molecule: ribosomal RNA, 965 nt
Filed under: Klebsiella senegalensis
Lineage: Bacteria; Pseudomonadati; Pseudomonadota; Gammaproteobacteria; Enterobacterales; Enterobacteriaceae
Description: bacterial SSU rRNA
Rfam family: Bacterial small subunit ribosomal RNA
Source: RNAcentral
AGAGUUUGAUCCUGGCUCAGAUUGAACGCUGGCGGCAGGCCUAACACAUGCAAGUCGAGCGGUAGCACAGAGAGCUUGCUCUCGGGUGACGAGCGGCGGACGGGUGAGUAAUGUCUGGGAAGCUGCCUGAUGGAGGGGGAUAACUACUGGAAACCGGUAGCUAAUACCGCAUAAUGUCGCAAGACCAAAGUGGGGGACCUUCGGGCCUCAUGCCAUCAGAUGUGCCCAGAUGGGAUUAGCUAGUAGGUGGGGUAAUGGCUCACCUAGGCGACGAUCCCUAGCUGGUCUGAGAGGAUGACCAGCCACACUGGAACUGAGACACGGUCCAGACUCCUACGGGAGGCAACAGUGGGGAAUAUUGCACAAUGGGCGCAAGCCUGAUGCAGCCAUGCCGCGUGUGUGAAGAAGGCCUUCGGGUUGUAAAGCACUUUCAGCGGGGAGGAAGGCGGUGAGGUUAAUAACCUCAUCGAUUGACGUUACCCGCAGAAGAAGCACCGGCUAACUCCGUGCCAGCAGCCGCGGUAACACGGAGGGUGCAAGCGUUAAUCGGAAUUACUGGGCGUAAAGCGCACGCAGGCGGUCUGUCAAGUCGGAUGUGAAAUCCCCGGGCUCAACCUGGGAACUGCAUUCGAAACUGGCAGGCUAGAGUCUUGUAGAGGGGGGUAGAAUUCCAGGUGUAGCGGUGAAAUGCGUAGAGAUCUGGAGGAAUACCGGUGGCGAAGGCGGCCCCCUGGACAAAGACUGACGCUCAGGUGCGAAAGCGUGGGGAGCAAACAGGAUUAGAUACCCUGGUAGUCCACGCCGUAAACGAUGUCGAUUUGGAGGUUGUGCCCUUGAGGCGUGGCUUCCGGAGCUAACGCGUUAAAUCGACCGCCUGGGGAGUACGGCGCAAGGUUAAAACUCAAAUGAAUUGACCGGGGCCCCCACAAGCCGGGGGAGCAUGUGGGUUAAUUUCGAUGCACGCG